GUAACGGGACAGUUGGAAACAAUAUCGGGACACGUUGCAAUCAUGACGCAAUAAGCGCCUACACAUGCAGACCGUACUUACUAGAAAGUUAAAGAAAACUAAACCAAUAACCACACAAUCUGAAAUUAGAUACAUUGUAAACUCAGGUGCAACGAGGGAAAACGUAGCUAGCUAGAUGAUUCGUUUUUGCAGAGACAUAUUUUUUUAAGCCUCUCAUGACCUAACAUGGCAAACGACAGGUCAAGGCAGGCAAGGGUCGAUAAUCCAGAGUAGGAGCAAAGGUACAGGACGGCAGGCAGGCUCAGGGUCAGGCAGAGUUCAGUAACCCAGAGGUGGAGCAAAGGAACAGGACAGCAGGCAGGCUCAGGGUCAGGCAGAGUGGUCAGGCAGGCGGGUACAGGGUCAGGACAGGCAAGGGUCAAAAACCAGAAGGAAGAGGAAAAAGAGAGGCUGGGAAAAGACAGGAGCUGAAAGGACAAACCCUGUCAUGCUUCCCUGAGCUGAACCCCUCAGAGCCCAGAACAUCUGCAUCGAACAUACACCGCUCUGGGUUGUCAGGGAGCUGCUGCCUUUGGUCUGAGCAUCUCACACAGAAUUAAAAUCCCCCUGAUCAAAAAACUUCAGUCCCAGUGUGAGGUUGUGACAUAGAGAUAGAGUGAGCCCCGAAGUGAUCCGCACUUUACCUGUCUACAGUUGUCCCUCGCGCCGCUCCUCUCCC
Molecule: long non-coding RNA, 718 nt
Filed under: Salmo salar (Atlantic salmon)
Lineage: Eukaryota; Metazoa; Chordata; Actinopteri; Salmoniformes; Salmonidae
Description: lncRNA (ENSSSAG00000083280.1, ENSSSAG00000100531.1)
Source: RNAcentral